GGCGUUGAAGCAGUGUACGUCAGACUUCCAAGAAAAGCUCGCAAUGUCAUAAAUAAAAGAUGCCUGUACCAUAACCGACACAGGUGGGUAGGUAGAGUAUACUAAGGGGCGCGAGAUAACUCUCUCUAAGGAACUCGGCAAAAUGACUCCGUAACUUCGGGAGAAGGAGUGCCUUAUUUAUAAGGUUGCAAUAACAAGAUCCAAGCAACUGUUUAUCAAAAACACAGGUCUCCGCUAAGUCGUAAGACGAUGUAUGGGGGCUGACGCCUGCCCAGUGCCAGAAGGUUAAAGAAGUUGGUUAGUGUAUGCGAAGCUGAUGACUGAAGCCCUGGUGAACGGCGGCCGUAACAAUAACGGUCCUAAGGUAGCGAAAUUCCUUGUCGGGUAAGUUCCGACCCGCACGAAAGGCGUAAUGAUUUGGAUACUGUCUCGGAGAGAGGCUCGGUGAAAUAGACUUGUCUGUGAAGAUGCGGACUACCUGCACCAGGACAGAAAGACCCUAUGAAGCUUUACUGUAACUUGAAAUUGGAAUUGGACUUUGCUUGCGCAGUAUAGGUGGGAAGCUUGAAAAUAUUCUUGCGGGAGUAUUGGAGCUAUCAGUGAGAUACCACUCUUGUAAUGUUAGAUUUCUAACUUUGAACCAUAAUCUGGUCAAAGAACAGUUUCAGGUGGGCAGUUUGACUGGGGCGGUCGCCUCCCAAAUGGUAACGGAGGCGUACAAAGGUUUCCUCUGAACGGAUAGAAAUCGUAUCUAGAGUGUAAAGGCAUAAGGAAGCUUGACUGUGUGACCUACAAGUCGAGCAGGGACGAAAGUCGGUCUUAGUGAUCUGACGGUACUGAGUGGAAAGGCCGUCACUCAACGGAUAAAAGUUACUCUAGGAUAACAGGCUGAUCUCCCCCAAGAGUUCACAUCGACGGGGAGGUUUGGCACCUCGAUGUCGGCUCAUCGCAUCCUGGGGCGGUAGUACGUCCCAAGGGUUGGGCUGUUCGCCCAUGAAAGCGGUACGCGAGCUGGGUUCAGAACGUCGUGAGACAGUUCGGUCCAUAUCCGGUGUAGGCGCUAGAAUAUUGAGAGGAGCCUUCUUUAGUACGAGAGGACCGAGAAGGACACACCGCUGGUGUACCAGUUAUCGUGCCAACGGUAAACGCUGGGUAGCUAUGUGUGGAGUGGAUAACCGCUGAAAGCAUCUAAGUGGGAAGCCCACCUCGAGAUGAGUAUUC
This 1221-nucleotide ribosomal RNA is filed under the name metagenome. RNAcentral's name for it is "bacterial LSU rRNA". It matches the Rfam family "Bacterial large subunit ribosomal RNA", at positions 1581 to 2813 of the family's 2925-position model. The record is from RNAcentral.